This 465-nucleotide ribosomal RNA is filed under the name uncultured bacterium. RNAcentral's name for it is "bacterial SSU rRNA". It matches the Rfam family "Bacterial small subunit ribosomal RNA", at positions 335 to 797 of the family's 1533-position model. The record is from RNAcentral.
ACUCCUACGGGAGGCAGCAGUGGGGAAUAUUGCGCAAUGGGCGAAAGCCUGACGCAGCCAUGCCGCGUGUGUGAAGAAGGCCUUAGGGUUGUAAAGCACUUUCAAUUGGGAAGAAAAGCUGUUGCCUAAUACGCAACAGCCCUGACAUUACCUUUAGAAGAAGCACCGGCUAACUCCGUGCCAGCAGCCGCGGUAAUACGGAGGGUGCGAGCGUUAAUCGGAAUUACUGGGCGUAAAGCGCGCGUAGGCGGUUUGUUAAGUCGGAUGUGAAUCCGGCUCCCAGCUAGGCCUGGACCCGACCGUGGCCGACUAGAGUACGAGAGAGGGGGGUAGAAUUCCACGUGUAGCGGUGAAAUGCGUAGAUAUGUGGAGGAAUACCAGUGGCGAAGGCGGCCCCCUGGCUUGAUACUGACGCUGAGGUGCGAAGCGUGGGGAGCAACAGGAUUAGAUACCCUGGUAGGCUCU